GCCGUUCCGCAGGGCCCCCCCCCAGCAGCUGCUCCAGCAGCGCCAGCGCCGCCCCCACGGCCUGGCGGGGCCCCCCCGGCCCCUGCGGGCACCCCGGAAUCAGGGGGGACCCCCAAACCCCACCGGGACCCCAAAACCCCACAGGGGACCCCCAAACCCCAUGGGGACCCCAAAACCCCACCAGGACCCCCAAACCCCACCAGGACCCCAAAACCCCGCAGGGGACCCCAAAACCCCGCAGGGGACCCCCAAACCCCACCGGGACCCCAAAACCCCAAAGGGGACCCCCAAACCCCACCGGGGACCCCCAAACCCCACAGGGGAGCCCCAAACCCCACCAGGCACCCCGAAACCCCACAGGGCACCCCAAAACCCCACUGGGGACCCCAAAACCCCACCGGGCACCCCAAAACCCCACUGGGGACCCCCAAACCCCACAGGGCACCCCCAAACCCCACAGGGGACCCCAAAACCCCACAGGGGACCCCCAAACCCCACAGGGCACCCCAAAACCCCACAGGGGACCCCCAAACCCCACAGGGGACCCCCAAACCCCAAAGGGGACCCCAAAACCCAGGGGGAAAACCCGGAAUUAGGGGGGACCCCGAAACCCCCAGGGAGACCCCAAAAACCCCACAGGGCACCCCCAAAUCCCACAGGGGACCCCAAAAUCCCAUGGGGACCCCAAAACCCCACAGGGGACCCCCAAACCCCACCGGGGACCCCGAAACCUCAUGGGGACCCCAAAACCCCACCGGGGACCCCCAAACCCCACAGGGGACCCCAAAACCCCACAGGGCACCCCCAAACCCCACCGGGCACCCCCAAACCCCCGGGGGCAAACCCGGAAUCAGGGGGGACCCCCAAACCCCCGGGGGGGGAACUUGGAAUUGGGGGGACCCCAAAGUCACCAGGGGGACCCCAAAACCCCCACAGGGAGAAACCCAGAAUCAGGGGGACCCCAAAACCCCCAGGGAGAUCCCAAAAACCCCACAGGGGGAACCAGAAUUGGGGGACCCCAAAACCCCACAGGGGACCCCCAAACCCCACAGGGCACCCCCAAACCCCCGGGGGCAAACCCGGAAUCAGGGGGGACCCCGAAACCCCCGGGGGGGGGAACCUGGAAUUGGGGGACCCCCAAACCCCACCGGGCACCCCGAAACCCCCGGGGAGGGGGAGGGGAAAGAACACCCCAAAAAAGGGACCCGAAAUGACGGGGAGAGACCCCAAAACCCACGGGAGGACCCCGAAACCCCCACAGGAGGACCCCAAAAACCCCACGGGAGGAAUCUGGAAUUUGGGGACCCCAAAGUCACCAGGGGGACCCCAAAAACCCCCAGGGAGACUCCAAAAACCCCAUAAGGGGAACCCGGAAUCGGGGGGACCCCAAAACCCCCAGGGGGACCCCAAAAACCUCACGGGGGGAAUCCAGAAUUGGGGGGGACCCCAAAACCCCCAGGGGGACCCCAAAAACCUCACGGGGGGAAUCCAGAAUUGGGGGGGACCCCAAAACCCCCAGGGAGACCCCAAAACCCCAUGGAGGAACCCCCAAAAUCUCGGGGGAAACCAAAAACCACCCAGGGAACCCCCCCAGGGCUCCAGGGGGACCCCAAAACUUCCAGCGAGACCCCAAAACCCCCCAGGGAGCAGCUGGGAAGGGACCCCAAACCCUCCCGGGGGUCUCGGGGUUUUGGGGACCCCCCCCAGGACCCCAAACCCUCCCUGGGGUUUUGGGGAACCCCCCAGGACCCCAAACCCUCCCGGGGGUCUCGGGGUUUUGGGGACCCCCGGCUCGGGGGGCGCUCACCGGGCUGGGGCUGUCGGGGGGCUCCAGCUGUGCCACGAACGAGGGGCUGGGGGACCCCAAAACCUCCCUGAGGGGCUGCCCAGAGCCCCCCAAAACCUUGGGGGACCCCCGGCGCUCCCCAGCCUCCUGCCAGGACCCCCCCAAACCCCACAGGGAGUCCCCCAGACCCCCCCGCUGC
This 1985-nucleotide long non-coding RNA is filed under the name Chloebia gouldiae (Gouldian finch). RNAcentral describes it as "Erythrura gouldiae (Gouldian finch) lncRNA (ENSEGOG00005011627.1)". The record is from RNAcentral. Lineage: Eukaryota; Metazoa; Chordata; Aves; Passeriformes; Passeridae.